This 1988-nucleotide long non-coding RNA is filed under the name Lathyrus oleraceus (garden pea). RNAcentral describes it as "Pisum sativum (pea) long non-coding RNA (PSAT_LNC025955)". Lineage: Eukaryota; Viridiplantae; Streptophyta; Magnoliopsida; Fabales; Fabaceae. The record is from RNAcentral.
GGCUUUAGAUAUUUUUUUCAACACACCACAAACUCUCUUUCUAUAAUCUAUAUCUCUCUCACGUUUCCAAGAAAAAAAAAUGCUCAGAACUUCUCAUCACCUUUUUCUUUCAUUUCUUCUCCUACAAAAAAGAACAUUCAUCACCAUACAACAACAACACAAACCCCCUCCCUCCACACAACCACAUCACACAAACAUGUAAACUUCAUCACAUACACUUAUCCCCAACCUCACGUCUUCAUCAAACACUCGUCAACCGCACCGCUCGUAUCACCACAAAAACGCAACAUACCCAUUUCCGUCGUAAACCUCUACGACACCACGCACAUCUGUCGUUCACAACAACCUUGCUGCCACCGUUGUUGUUUUCAAUUUGGUAUACCUUUCUCUAAAUCCUUUCCGUAAUGUGUUUGUUGUCUACUAAAUUUAUUUUCAGACCUAAGAGUGUUUUAAUUUAUGUUUGUUAUCUUACUUCUUGCAUUUUUUAUCUUUAAGUGGUCUGUUAGAUUUAGUUUGUUGUGUGUUGUUUAUAUAAGUUGUUUUUUUAUAGUUUUGUUUGUCAUGAAAAUGAUGAAAGAAAAAGAGGAUUUGAGAACAAGAGCAGUGUUUUCUUCAUGCAAAGCAAAACUAGUUUUGGAGUUUCUUGUUUUAAAAAUAAAAAGAAAGUAUAUAUUAAGUUUAAAACUCCAACAUAAUUCAUGUUUUUAUAUAUAUACGUUACUUUUAUAAAAAAAAAAUUGGGGAAUGGGGGACGGUUCCCCUGAUGUGGCAUUUUUUUGUUAUUUAUUUUUUUAUUUUUUUAUUUUUAAAAUAUAAUUAUUUUGUUAUAUUAUAGUUGUUCUUAGACCUAAUUAAAUACUGCUAUAUACACCUUUGUUAAAACCUUACAUUUCUCUCCUGUGUUUAUUAUUAUUAUUAUUAUUAUUAUUAUUUUAGCAUUAUUACUAUUAUUAUUAUUAUGAAUUACUAUCAUCAUUAUCAUUAUAGUGAUUAUUAUUAUUUAUCAUUUAUUAUUAUUAUUAUUAAUUUUGUUCUGUCAUUUUUUUUGUUAUUAUUAUUUUUAUUUUUUUGUAAUUCUUUAUUAUUUCUGUUAUUUAUAAUUGUUAAUAUUUUUUGUCUAUUGUUUUUUUAUUGUUUAGGGAUUAGUUAUUAUUAUUAUUAUUAUCGUCAUUAAUAUAUUAUUAUUUAUUAUUUAUUAUUUUUACUAUUUUUAUUUUUUAUUUUUUAUUUUUGUUAAUUAUUAUUAUUAAGUAUGGUUAUUGGUUAUCAUUGUUAUUGUUGAUUACUGACUAUUAUCAUGUUACCAUUUUUUAUGGAUUAUUAUUGUUAAGUAUUAUUAUGGAUUAUCAUUGUUUAUUUAUUUAUUAUUAUUGUUUUUAUUUUAUUUUUGUUAAAUAUUUUUGUUAAUUAUUAUUUAUUACUAUUAUUGUUAAUUAUUAUUAUUAUUAUUAUAGUUUAUUAUUAUUAUUAUUAUUAUUUAAUUGAUUAUUUUAAAAUUGCUAAAAAAAAUCGAUUUUAUUGUCCUGCCGGUUUUUCAUAGAUGCGUAGCAAUUUUGAAGUUAAAAUUCAAUUUAACUUCAGAAAUUGCUUACACGCAGAGAGUCUUGUUGACCGGCCUCAUAUAAGGUGAUUCCUACAUGAAUCGCCUUAUGAUUGCUUAAUAUAGCUAUAAAUUAUGUAAUUCAAUUUCUGAUUUUCACUUCGGGUCCCUUGGCUUUCUCUUGGGCCUUCUUACAACGAGAUUCUUUUAUUUUACAACUGUCUUUAAAAACUUGUAUCAUUUGAUUAUUGUAUUGUAUCCCCAUUCGAUAAACUGUAUCCCCAUUCCCGAAAUUGUGUAAUAAAUUUACUUCUUUCAUUUAUUUUUAUUGUAUCAGUUGAUUGUUAACAAGAGAUUAAAAUCAACCCUUUAAAGAAAAUAAAGAAACAAAUACGCGAUCCAACAUCGAGUAAUUUUCACAAAAGUUAGAACCAUUUCCAUAUCCAUU